UUUCAAAAUUUCAGUUGGAAAAUAAAAAUUUAUUGUAAAUUUGUUUUGUUAAACAUAAAAGUUUCGUGUCUUUUUAGGAAUUCGAAUAUAAAAUAACGCGUGCAAAAAUUUCGUAAUGUGUUUUAACUUUAAUUUGAGCAACAGUUUAUGUGUUAUUCAUUGUGAAUUGGGUGUGUAACACAAUGGCGUCACGGAUGCCAAUUGUGCAUAGCUUUAAUAAUUUUUAAAGUUAAUUAACAAUCGUCCAGAACUGGAGUUUUAAGUGUUCGUAUUACGUAUUUCCUUACCAGAAAGUAUUCACUUUCGUAAUUUGUGUAAAGUUUUGAAGUUCUUGAUCGCCUUGGGAAGCGAACUAUCGUACCUUUGCUUCCGGGUGACCAAAAGUUGGUAUCAUCAAUCAUUUAAUCUUACAAUCUAUGGCAAACUGAAAGAUUAGAUCAAUGUGUAUAAAAUUUUUCAAGUACUAAAUUACAUCGUGUAAUCAUAUAGUAAUACCUAUUGCAAUACGUUUUGGCAAAAUUAAGAUGAAUUCCGAUGCGUGUGAAUAAGAUAAAGCGUGAGGCGCUAUGAAAGAAUAGUUAAUUCCAUUUUGCAUUUUGGCUAAUUCCCAUUUGAGAAAAUUAACACCGAAAUUCCAAAUUUUAAGUUCGUUUCAAAAUUGUGUAAUUCAGCCAGAGUAUGAAAAUAAAC
This 690-nucleotide small RNA is filed under the name Drosophila mojavensis. RNAcentral's name for it is "GI25540". Lineage: Eukaryota; Metazoa; Arthropoda; Insecta; Diptera; Drosophilidae. The record is from RNAcentral.